CUGCCUAUAACUUCAUGCAGCUCCUUCUGGCCUCUCUCCUCACGGUGGGUCCCCAGUAGCUGUGACUGAAGGCCAAACUAAGGCUUCAGAUACUCAGGAGUCCUGAGUGUCCUGGCAGUGGCUCGGGUACUAGUGCGGGAGGGUGCAGGCGACCAGGCGCCCUGACGUGUGGAUCACCAUUUUCUCUUCUGUACAAGUUGAAAUUGUUUGCAUCUCUACCAGACAAACAUCAGUUACAACUUACUGAUUUUCUGGGAGUUUGCAUCUAGAGUCUGAGUCAAUAAAUUUAAAUCUAAAGUGCCCAUCCAAUCACCUUGACCAGCCCUCAAGUGUGGCCCCAUCCUCCCUGCUGGGAACCUCAACUCUGGACGGAUUACAGCAGCCCCUCUCCUGGAGUUGCCUGGG
This 405-nucleotide long non-coding RNA is filed under the name Fukomys damarensis (Damara mole-rat). Its description in RNAcentral is "lncRNA (ENSFDAG00000024706.1)". The record is from RNAcentral. Lineage: Eukaryota; Metazoa; Chordata; Mammalia; Rodentia; Bathyergidae.